RNAcentral lists this long non-coding RNA (216 nucleotides) under Lathyrus oleraceus (garden pea). RNAcentral's name for it is "Pisum sativum (pea) long non-coding RNA (PSAT_LNC000663)". The record is from RNAcentral. Lineage: Eukaryota; Viridiplantae; Streptophyta; Magnoliopsida; Fabales; Fabaceae.
GAAUGGCGCUCCUGUCGCUGUCAGUGAGUCUGAAAACCAUCUUCAGAAUACCACCGUAUGCCUCACGGAACAUCCCCACAUGGUCGGGUGUAAUCAAGGCUAUCAUAUCUCUCAGCACACCAAUCUCUGGGUCGAAGAAACUGUAGGCAACAACAUGCUUCAAACCGGUCCUCAUGUCUGAGCAAAGAAAUCUCUCAACCAGGAUCUCAAUCAAAA